RNA transcript from Wyeomyia smithii (pitcher-plant mosquito), 3596 nucleotides. RefSeq lists it as uncharacterized. The record is from RefSeq and is a predicted model, not a curated record. NCBI's taxonomy places the organism in Eukaryota, Metazoa, Arthropoda, Insecta, Diptera, Culicidae. The transcript has 10 exons.
UGCCAUUUAAAUGUCGCUUGAUAACGGAUAGUGCAAAAUGGUGAAAAAAGGAUCGAAAAAAGGCUCCGGGAAGAAGAAAGCUCCGAAAAUUUCUACUGAAGAACAACUCGAAAUUCUUCGAAAUGAAGCUGAAGCCAAUUGGCGGGCCGAACAAGAAGCCCUGUCAGCUAAAGAAGCCUUAGGAAAUAAACGAUAUAACCAGCGGCGUGCGGUUUUGGUCGAGACGAUCAAGUUUUUUCGAAAGCUAGAAAAAACAGCAACAGAUGUUAACCGCCAGCUACAGAAUAAAACUGAGUGGGAACAGUAUUUGUCCUGCGAAAAUCGACCCAAUGCAGCAAGUGCCGCGGAUUUACGUGAUUUUUUGUACCGAUGGCAGUAUGAAUCAGCUGAAGAGGCGCAAAAUUUAACCAGCUGGACGUUGGACAUUAAUGAACGAAGUGUUCUGACGCAAAACGAGUUGGAACCUGUUAAAACUCGAAAAUUACUCGAGAGCGAGAAUGAAAACCUAAUUCACAAACAGCAUCUUGCCCGGAUUAAACAGGCGCUUAAAGUGUUAGCUCUCAUAGAAGAUUCGUCACAACACAGUUUUCCACACAAGGAGGUUCUUUUAGCAAGGGAUGAAAUAAGGAAGAAGAUAUCUGAUACACUGGAUGAGAUGACCAUGAGCAUUGGGAGAAACAUUUGGCGUGACAUGAAACCACUAGAUUCAAUUACGGCACAGUUUUCAUUCUCCUCCGAUAUUCUUCGAUUCUUUAUCUGGAGUUUUCGUGAUGUCCCAUUACCACCUGAAUACAAUCAUUUAAUCAAAGUACUUCCAAUGAAUGCUUUGGAGCUCAAAUUUUCGAAACCAAUUUCGUUUGAUUUGAAAGAAACACUAAUGCGUGCAUACUGGACGCGGUUCGAUCAUUAUUCUGACCACGAUAGGUAUUUUCGUUGCGCUACACUGGAAGCAGUGCCUGAUUUGAUUAUUAGCCAAGAGAUUGAGUGGGCUGAGAGGAACGCACUGCGAAUGACAAAGCUUCAAUCCAUGAAAACAGCUAGAGAAAAGUUUGAAGAGGACAAGAAGAAACAAGAACUCGAACAACAAGCGGAUGCUAAAAAUAUUGGAAAGAAUGUUAAAACUGAUAAAACUAAGAAGAAGAAAAAAAUUAAAACGAAAAAUGAUGCAACUAAUUUGUUACCCGAUGUUCCACCGCCCAUAAUAACCGAGGCUACGAUCGUUGAUGUUGAAACGGAAUAUGUCCAACAGGAAAUGGAGCAGUAUCACAAUAGAAUGCAUGAAAUUGGUCCGGAAUCUUUGAACUUGAGUGAAAACAUGGUGAACCUUCGCAAAUACAGGAUCACAGGUGGCAUUUAUUGUCUGAACAGAUUUCGCAAGCUUCCACAGACGGUGGAGCUAAGAAAUGAUUUUAUUUACUCAUCUGUGCCAUCGGAUCUUAAACUAGCAGAGUUUCAAUAUGUUGGUAAAUCUGAAGAUGAGCUGAUUAAAAUUGAAUUCAAACUACCCGAAUACUGCUUCUGGUGGCAUGAACCUAUUGCUUGCAGCUGGGAGUCAUGGGAAGAAAGCCUAGAGUUUCAAUCUUUGGACAAACGGUUGCAGGAAUUUCAUUUAAACUACGAAAACAUUAUGCAAGAGCAGGCGAAGCUGUUAUUUAGUGCUCCGAAAGUUGUCAAGAAUCCGUUGAAACCAACAAUUAUACCGGAUUUCAAUCUGAGUGAUAUUCCAGCUGAAAUCAAGCUGCAUUAUCUUAUUGUCGAUCACAUUUUACCACGACUCCCGCAAAAUUUCAAGUUUCACGCAGAGCUGCGAAACAUAUUCAAAACUAUGCAGUCGAAACUGCACCACGGCCAGCGAUUGAGAAUUGAAGAGUUGCUCAACGAACUUUUGUAUCCGAAAUAUCUAGCAAUGCAGGCUUCGGACAAAGUCCAACAAAACACCAGCAAUGAAAUAUUCCGAAUUCCUAGUCAAUCAGAUGUUAGCAAAUCGAAAGAAAGUGUUGCAAGUUUAAAUGGAUCCUUGAUCGAUACGAAUGUGUACACACCCGUUCAGACGCUGUUACAGGAGUUAGCAUCGACUCAAGAAGCCCCUUCUUAUCUCUUUCCACCUACCCGCCGAAUUCCUAUUCUCGUCAUUACAGAGAAAAACGAUGCAGAAAUAAAUGAACAAGAAUUUGAAGAGCUUCUUGAAGGCUUACAGGAAGGUGUAGCCUCCGAUGACGACUUUAAUGCAGAGUCCGUGUAUAAACUGUUUUCAACUUUUCUCAAGGUACUGGAUCGUCUGAGAGAAAAGGAACAACCAGAAUUCGCAGAUGUUCCUACGCCGGAAGAAGAAGAAGAAGUGAAAGACUCUCAAGAAUCAACCAGGACAUCGAAAGACUUAUCACAUCGACACCGACGGAGCCCUAGACAACCUAUAAGAAGAAUGUCGUCAUUUCUGAUGCCCGAUCGACCACGGCAACGUUCAGCACGAGGCUCUAUUGCUACUGUAAGAAGAGAACGCAAGCAAAGAAAAUCUGUUGCGAUGAGUGCUUCGGAUGUGUCUACCGAUGACGAACGCGAGUCAAUGCCGCUGAUAACAGAAGAACUCAAUCUCAGUAUAUUGCCUCAUCCUGUGGGAAGUUGGUCUACAAAGUUAGUUCACAAACAAGAGUAUGAUUCGGUGACAAAAAAAUUAACCAUUUGGGUGCAGCAACUGAGCACAUUCGGUUUUGCGAUGGAAAAAUAUUACAAUUUACCCUUCAUUGGGUGGGAUUUGAAGCGAUGCGGAAAAAUUACGGAAUUAACUACGAUUAUUACUCUUGAAUGCGUCGGUCUCACUGUAGCCAUUAGAGUAACAAAAUCAGGCUACCGUGUGGCAUUUCACGAUACACUUGAGCAGGGCAUUGGCACGCCCACAAACGAGCUCACGUUGGACGAGCUACAACAAUUCCUAACACAGGCAAACGUUACUAUAUUUCCCGAACCGGAUGCCCUUUUUUAUUUGCAGAAAAUGACCACCGCUAAACACGAAUCCAUGGAAGUACACAACCUCAAAGCGAUGGCCGCAUUUUGUCUGACGCAUAAUUUUCGGAACUGCUUUUGGAAUCGGUACUCCUCAGCUCGGGAGGCACUGAUUCAAUGUCGGCAGUUGAUUGAAGGCCGUCAGGAGCCGGAAUUUGUAACUGUGAUGAUGAGUCCCCAGGAGGCAGCUACUGUCACCGUGAAAGAACUGUGCUCCCCACUGGAUCAGGUGCUGCUCGAGUAUUGUCCAACACCGGAAAAUCAAUCGCCAUUCAGAAGUAUACCAUCAGGUCGGGGGUAGAAAUCAGGACACCUAAAACGAUCCAAUUUUAUCGAGCUACAAGGACCAUCUCAAACGAUCCAAUUUUAUCGAGCAACUUUCAAUUGUUAGUCUUUCGCGGGUACCCGAAGAUUUCAGCACACGCUCAAACAAAAAAGAAAUAAUUUGCGCGCAGUGAACGCUGUGUGGUCAGGUAUCAAGAUUUAUCUGGAUUAUCCAGAUUUUUUAACAGAUUUUGGGGCCCUUUACAAACGAGGUGAGCAACCCGCCUCGCUUCCACUCACGGACGAGACGAGAACAAAAUGUUAUUCUGGAA